This 387-nucleotide long non-coding RNA is filed under the name Daucus carota (carrot). Its description in RNAcentral is "long non-coding RNA (DCAR_LNC005796)". Lineage: Eukaryota; Viridiplantae; Streptophyta; Magnoliopsida; Apiales; Apiaceae. The record is from RNAcentral.
AACCACAACAUGUCGGGUCUGAAAAAGAAAUGGAUUAAAUAUCUAAAGUUCUUGUCUUCAUUUGAGCGGGCCAAUAAGUGCUUGUUUGGUUACCAAUAGGAAGUUAAAUCCUAUGUAAUUUGAAAUUAUUAUGGAAAUUAUAAUAAAUGGGAAGUUAAAAUUUGUGUUUGGUUGAUAGCUGAUUUUUAAUUUCCUACAGGAAGUGCAAGUUACCAAGGGGGGUCAAGGUCAAUAACUUCCUAUGUUUUGUAGCCCUUCGACUCAUGUGUAUAAGAAGUAUAGCAACAUUUUACAAUAAUUUUACGAUAUGAAAACAAGAUACAACAUAAGCAUUAAUAUUAAUAGUGACUAUGAUAUGUCACUUUUAAUCUCCCAUAGUCAAUCCUC